UACGGAGGAUCCGAGCGUUAUCCGGAUUUAUUGGGUUUAAAGGGUGCGUAGGCGGAAAUGUAAGUCAGUGGUGAAAUCCUGCAGCUUAACUGUAGAAUAGCCGUUGAAACUGUGUUUCUUGAGUACAUUUGAGGUAGGCGGAAUGUGGUGUGUAGCGGUGAAAUGCAUAGAUAUACCACAGAACACCGAUUGCGAAGGCAGCUUACUAAACUGUCACUGACGCUGAUGCACGAAAGCGUGGGUAUCAAACAGGAUUAGAUACCCUGGUAGUCCACGCUGUAAACGAUGAUUACUGGUUGUUUGCGAUACACUGCAAGUGACUGAGCGAAAGCAUUAAGUAAUCCACCUGGGGAGUACGUCGGCAACGAUGAA
RNAcentral lists this ribosomal RNA (372 nucleotides) under uncultured bacterium. RNAcentral's name for it is "bacterial SSU rRNA". It matches the Rfam family "Bacterial small subunit ribosomal RNA", at positions 524 to 898 of the family's 1533-position model. The record is from RNAcentral.